GAUGAACGCUGGCGGCGUGCUUAACACAUGCAGGUCGAACGAGAAGUGGAGACGGAAACCUUCGGGCGGAAGACUUUAUUUCGAGUGGCGGACGGGUGAGUAACGCGUGGGUAACCUGCCUCAUACAGGGGGAUAACAGUUGGAAACGACUGUUAAUACCGCAUAAGACCACAGCACCGCAUGGUGCGGGGGUAAAAACUCCGGUGGUAUGAGAUGGACCCGCGUUCGAUUAGCCAGUUGGCGGGGUAACGGCCCACCAAAGCGACGAUCGAUAGCCGAUCUGAGAGGAUGACCGGCCACAUUGGGACUGAGACACGGCCCAAACUCCUACGGGAGGCAGCAGUGGGGAAUAUUGCACAAUGGGGAAACCCUGAUGCAGCGACGCCGCGUGAGUGAAGAAGUAUUUCGGUAUGUAAAGCUCUAUCAGCAGGGAAGAAAAUGACGGUACCUGAGUAAGAAGCCCCGGCUAACUACGUG
This 477-nucleotide ribosomal RNA is filed under the name uncultured bacterium. RNAcentral describes it as "partial 16S ribosomal RNA". It matches the Rfam family "Bacterial small subunit ribosomal RNA", at positions 28 to 507 of the family's 1533-position model. The record is from RNAcentral.